UGAUUCAGACGAGCGAGCAACGAGCGAGUGAAGUCUCUCCUCGAGCUCAGGGUAAAGCAUAUCAACAACAAAAGCCAUUCUUUCACUUCUGAAAUAACAUAAAAGGUUCUGCACGUAGCCUAGC
Long non-coding RNA from Etheostoma spectabile (orangethroat darter), 124 nucleotides. RefSeq lists it as uncharacterized. NCBI's taxonomy places the organism in Eukaryota, Metazoa, Chordata, Actinopteri, Perciformes, Percidae. The transcript is spliced from 3 exons. The record is from RefSeq and is a predicted model, not a curated record.